GAUGAACGCUGGCGGCGUGCUUAACACAUGCAAGUCGAACGGGAAACCUUUUAAUGAAGCUUCGGCAGAUUUAGCUGGUUUCUAGUGGCGGACGGGUGAGUAACGCGUGGGUAACCUGCCUUAUACAGGGGGAUAACAGUCAGAAAUGACUGCUAAUACCGCAUAAGCGCACGGGACCGCAUGGUCCGGUGUGAAAAACUCCGGUGGUAUAAGAUGGACCCGCGUUGGAUUAGCUUGUUGGUGGGGUAACGGCUCACCAAGGCGACGAUCCAUAGCCGGCCUGAGAGGGUGAACGGCCACAUUGGGACUGAGACACGGCCCAGACUCCUACGGGAGGCAGCAGUGGGGAAUAUUGCACAAUGGGGGAAACCCUGAUGCAGCGACGCCGCGUGAAGGAAGAAGUAUCUCGGUAUGUAAACUUCUAUCAGCAGGGAAGAUAGUGACGGUACCUGACUAAGAAGCCCCGGCUAACUACGUG
RNAcentral lists this ribosomal RNA (478 nucleotides) under uncultured bacterium. RNAcentral describes it as "partial 16S ribosomal RNA". It matches the Rfam family "Bacterial small subunit ribosomal RNA", at positions 28 to 507 of the family's 1533-position model. The record is from RNAcentral.